CCCUUAGAUGUCCUGGGCCGCACGCGCGCUACACUGAUGCAUGCAACGAGUUUAUAACCUUGGCCUGAAAGGUCUGGGUAAUCUUUUGAACGUGCAUCGUGAUAGGGAUAGAUUAUUGCAAUUGUUAAUCUUGAACGAGGAAUUCCUAGUAAACGCGAGUCAUCAGCUCGCAUUGAUUACGUCCCUGCCCUUUGUACACACCGCCCGUCGCACCUACCGAUUGAACGGUUUAGUGAGGGCCUCGGAUUGGUCUCGGCCCGCUCUUUACCGGGCGGCGCCGUUGGUCGAGAAGACGCUCGAACUUGAUCGUUUAGAGGAAGUAAAAGUCGUAACA
RNAcentral lists this ribosomal RNA (334 nucleotides) under uncultured eukaryote. Its description in RNAcentral is "partial 18S ribosomal RNA". It matches the Rfam family "Eukaryotic small subunit ribosomal RNA", at positions 1470 to 1796 of the family's 1831-position model. The record is from RNAcentral.